GACGAACGCUGGCGGCGUGCUUAACACAUGCAAGUCGAGCGGUAAGGCCCUUUCGGGGGUACACGAGCGGCGAACGGGUGAGUAACACGUGGGUGACCUGCCCUCAGCUCUGGGAUAAGCCCGGGAAACUGGGUCUAAUACCGGAUAUGACUCCAUGACGCAUGUUGUGGGGUGGAAAGCCUUGUGCGGCUGAGGAUGGGCCCGCGGCCUAUCAGCUUGUUGGUGGGGUGANGGCCUACCAAGGCGACGACGGGUAGCCGGCCUGAGAGGGCGACCGGCCACACUGGGACUGAGAUACGGCCCAGACUCCUACGGGAGGCAGCAGUGGGGAAUCUUGCGCAAUGGGCGAAAGCCUGACGCAGCGACGCCGCGUGAGGGAUGACGGCCUGGUU
This 392-nucleotide ribosomal RNA is filed under the name uncultured bacterium. RNAcentral's name for it is "bacterial SSU rRNA". It matches the Rfam family "Bacterial small subunit ribosomal RNA", at positions 28 to 424 of the family's 1533-position model. The record is from RNAcentral.